GAUGAACGCUGGCGGCGUGCCUAAUACAUGCAAGUCGAGCGAGCAGACGAGGAGCUUGCUCCUCUGACGUUAGCGGCGGACGGGUGAGUAACACGUGGAUAACCUACCUAUAAGACUGGGAUAACUUCGGGAAACCGGAGCUAAUACCGGAUAAUAUAUUGAACCGCAUGGUUCAAUAGUGAAAGACGGUUUUGCUGUCACUUAUAGAUGGAUCCGCGCCGCAUUAGCUAGUUGGUAAGGUAACGGCUUACCAAGGCAACGAUGCGUAGCCGACCUGAGAGGGUGAUCGGCCACACUGGAACUGAGACACGGUCCAGACUCCUACGGGAGGCAGCAGUAGGGAAUCGUCCGCAAUGGGCGAAAACCUGACGGAGCAACGCCGCGUGAGUGAUGAAGGUCUUCGGAUCGUAAAACUCUGUUAUUAGGGAAGAACAAAUGUGUAAGUAACUAUGCACGUCUUGACGGUACCUAAUCAGAAAGCCACGGCUAACUACGUG
RNAcentral lists this ribosomal RNA (497 nucleotides) under uncultured bacterium. Its description in RNAcentral is "partial 16S ribosomal RNA". It matches the Rfam family "Bacterial small subunit ribosomal RNA", at positions 28 to 507 of the family's 1533-position model. The record is from RNAcentral.